RNAcentral lists this transfer RNA (73 nucleotides) under Candidatus Omnitrophota bacterium. Its description in RNAcentral is "Candidatus Omnitrophica bacterium tRNA-Arg". It matches the Rfam family "tRNA". From Rfam's summary of the family: Transfer RNA (tRNA) molecules are approximately 80 nucleotides in length. Lineage: Bacteria; Pseudomonadati; Candidatus Omnitrophota. The record is from RNAcentral.
GCGCCCGUAGCUCAGCAGGACAGAGCGCUAGCCUCCUAAGCUGGAAAUGGCCGUUCGAGUCGGCCCGGGCGCA